AUUGAACGCUGGCGGCAGGCCUAACACAUGCAAGUCGAGCGGAUGAAGGGAGCUUGCUCCUGGAUUCAGCGGCGGACGGGUGAGUAAUGCCUAGGAAUCUGCCUGGUAGUGGGGGAUAACGUCCGGAAACGGGCGCUAAUACCGCAUACGUCCUGAGGGAGAAAGUGGGGGAUCUUCGGACCUCACGCUAUCAGAUGAGCCUAGGUCGGAUUAGCUAGUUGGUGGGGUAAAGGCCUACCAAGGCGACGAUCCGUAACUGGUCUGAGAGGAUGAUCAGUCACACUGGAACUGAGACACGGUCCAGACUCCUACGGGAGGCAGCAGUGGGGAAUAUUGGACAAUGGGCGAAAGCCUGAUCCAGCCAUGCCGCGUGUGUGAAGAAGGUCUUCGGAUUGUAAAGCACCUUAAGUUGGGAGGAAGGGCAGUAAGUUAAUACCUUGCUGUUUUGUCGUUACCAACAGAAUAAGCACCGGCUAACUUCGUG
This 484-nucleotide ribosomal RNA is filed under the name uncultured bacterium. RNAcentral describes it as "partial 16S ribosomal RNA". It matches the Rfam family "Bacterial small subunit ribosomal RNA", at positions 30 to 507 of the family's 1533-position model. The record is from RNAcentral.